GAAAAAAAAAAAAAAAAAAAAAAAAAAAAAAAAAAAAAAAAAAAAAA
Molecule: non-coding RNA, 47 nt
Filed under: Alexandrium minutum
Lineage: Eukaryota; Dinophyceae; Gonyaulacales; Pyrocystaceae
Source: RNAcentral